CCUACGGGGUGCAGCAGUGAGGCAUAUUGGUCAAUGGACGCAAUUCUGAACCAGCCAUGCCGCGUGCAGGAAGACGGCUCUAUGAGUUGUAAACUGCUUUUGUACGAGGGUAAACGCAGAUACGCGUAUCUGUCUGAAAGUAUCGUACGAAUAAGGAUCGGCUAACUCCGUGCCAGCAGCCGCGGUAAUACGGAGGAUUCAAGCGUUAUCCGGAUUUAUUGGGUUUAAAGGGUGCGUAGGCGGUCGGAUAAGUUAGAGGUUAAAUCCCGAGGCUCAACUUCGGAAUUGCCUCUGAUCCUGUUCGGCUAGAGUGUAGUUGCGGUAGGCGGAAUGUAUGGUGUAGCGGUGAAAUGCUUAGAGAUCAUACAGAACGCCGAUUGCGAAGGCAGCUUACCAAGCUACUUCUGACGUUGAGGCACGAAAGCGUGGGGAGCAAACAGGAUUAGAUACCCGAGUAGUC
This 460-nucleotide ribosomal RNA is filed under the name uncultured bacterium. Its description in RNAcentral is "partial 16S ribosomal RNA". It matches the Rfam family "Bacterial small subunit ribosomal RNA", at positions 338 to 795 of the family's 1533-position model. The record is from RNAcentral.